RNAcentral lists this ribosomal RNA (222 nucleotides) under uncultured bacterium. RNAcentral's name for it is "partial 16S ribosomal RNA". It matches the Rfam family "Bacterial small subunit ribosomal RNA", at positions 328 to 539 of the family's 1533-position model. The record is from RNAcentral.
ACGCUCGACACCUACGGAGGCAGCAGUAGGGAAUCUUCCACAAUGGACGCAAGUCUGAUGGAGCAACGCCGCGUGAGUGAAGAAGGUCUUCGGAUCGUAAAACUCUGUUGUUAGAGAAGAACACGAGUGAGAGUAACUGUUCAUUCGAUGACGGUAUCUAACCAGCAAGUCACGGCUAACUACGUACCAGCAGCCGCGGUAAUCUGAGCGGGCUGGCAAGGC